Molecule: long non-coding RNA, 228 nt
Organism: Suncus etruscus (white-toothed pygmy shrew)
Lineage: Eukaryota; Metazoa; Chordata; Mammalia; Eulipotyphla; Soricidae
Exons: 2
Source: RefSeq, a predicted model, not a curated record
CAGAUGCGCCACGGCUCCGCGAGCGACGGGUGCGAGCAGCAGCGCCUCUGCCCGGAAGCCCCCCCGCAGCGCCAGCGCCAGCUCCACGGGCAGCCAUGUGCGACCGCAAGGCCGUGAUCAAGAACGCGGACAUGUCGGAGGAGAUGCAGCAGGACUCGGUGGAGUGCGCCACGCAGGCCCUGGAGAAGUACAACAUCGAGAAGGACAUCGCGGCCCACAUCAAGAAGG